UCCGAUACGUAAUGGGCUAAUAGUUUAUAAAUAGUUUUAGAGUGGAGCUGUUGGCGCAUGCGCUGUGGCGACGUCGCGUUCAGUGAGAGCAACAUUACCUGGUGGCUGUAUAUAAAUAUGAAUAUUGAACCGCGGUAUCGGAGAAAUCGUACAACUUUUGCAUCUGGUGUUUGUUCAACACAGUGGAGCCAGUGAGUCUUGGUGUGGGACAGGGGAGGCUAGCUGCCUUCAUUCGGUGGUGUGCUUCACCGUGUGUGCAGACACAACAACUUCCUUAUGGUAGCUUACUGGGCAAUGCCACAUGGACUACACAGAGUACAUAUAAAGGUUAACGGUUGUGACUGAUCUAUGGCGUCUUACGUUGUUCACCUCAAAUAUCAACUCUUCCGGAAACUGUCUGCCUACACGAAGACUGUAACAGAAGCUUUUCGAGAGGCUUUCAUAUACCACUCCGUGCUGGGAGUCAUAUAACUUAUUUAAGGCAGGUCAGGAGCAGCUGAGCGCAGAAUUAUUUCACAUUGUAAGCACUGAAGCAGCAGACCAUCAGCAUCACAAACCAGUGUAACCAAUGGGCUUUGAAAAGACCUGCAUGAGCGGAAUAAUAAGUGUUCAUACUGCAUUUUUCAUUACCCAUCACGCCGGUGUGCUAUACACAAAGUUAAUGUAGAUGGAUAGAAUUUUGUAUGUGUGUAUAAUGUAUAUGGUGAAUUUCAAACAACAUCUGGAGAGCCGUUUGUGCCGGAAUGGUGUACGUCUAAUCGUGCAUAAAAUACAAAACCAGCAGGUCUUUUUUGAAAUGAUAUUUAUUAAUUAACUUUUAUAGCUUUCUUUUCUGUUCGAUUGGGUCGGUGACAUCACAUGGGUUUAAUCCGAGCCUUCAAAACUCAAAGACUAGUUUAAUUAAGAUAAUGUGCUCUGUUCAUGAACAUUUCAGGAAUAAAAAGCUCCAAUAAAUAGCCAAAAUAAUGUUCAAGCAGGUUGAAAAAUGUUUGAGAACCCAAGCUUUAAAAUUUUUAGAUUAAAUUCUUUUCUUUUUUUUUUCUUUUUCUUUUUUUUUUUUUUUAAAGUUUGUCUUGGAACUGAAAUUUGAUUUGAGUUAGAGCACCAGUAAUACGUUUAUGACACGGUACUUCAAUAAAACUAUUUUAAAAAUCGAUAAACACUUGGGGAAGUCUGCAGCAGCUCAUGUUCAGUAUCAAAGUGUGUGUGUGUGUGAGAGGAGAGUGAGAGAGAGUUCUUUGACUUUCUCACAUUGAAGCAAAUACUGAAACUAAAUCAUUUGUACAGAAUGUUUAGGCAGAACGCUACAGUUUGAUAAAUAGUCAAACAUUGUUAAAUAUGGUGCAAAAUGUGACUAUUUUUCUGUAUAUACAGAAUAAACAGAUGCUCAAAGUCUAAGACUAAUUGUUUGUGUGUGUGUGUGUGUGUGUGUGUGUGUGUGUGUGUGUGUGUGUGUGUGUGUGUGUGUGUGAGUGAGAAUAGGUUCUCAGUCUAUAUGGGGCUGUUUUUGCUCAUGCUGGUCAUUUUAAUACAUCUCGUGUGGCCAUUGUUUGACUUCCUGCAGUUCUCCACUGAAUGCCCUCAUUUGGGAUGACACUGUAAAUAUCCUCGAGCCACGAGCUCCAUCUGCAACCAAGCACACAUAGCUGUGUCAAGGACAGCAACAGCAAAGAAGAUAAUGGUGUAGCUCAUAAACAGAUCAUCAACUUGUGAGAUUUUGGGUGGAGGGAUGGACAGAUGGACGUGUGGAUGGACAACAGCUUUACUAUUGGACUGUUACACCGCUCUGGCACUGGAGACUCCUUCCAAAAAUGCUCAAUAAAUGGAAAUGUCACAGAAAGCUUCACCAUAUCAACAAUUACACACAUUUAUGUGGAACGUCUGCAAUACCAGUCCCUGUAUAUGUUUUUACUGUUCAGUAUUAUAUAACAUAUUUGAAUGAGAGCAUUAAUUACGAUGUAUAAAUAAACUACACAGAUGGGUCAUUUUUUUUUGUUUGUUUUUUUUUAAUGGAAAAUCAGUCAGCACCUUCUGACCAAUUAGCAUCCAGAAUGCAACAGUGCUAUGCUGUGGUAUAAAAUUAGAAUAAGCAAACAGACAUUCUGUAACAGGGAUGCAGGGAGCAUUAGCUCAACAAUACACUUACAGCCCCCUCCGCUAAUAUUGGCACCCUUGGUAAAUAUGAGCAAAGAAGGCUGUGAAAAAUUGUCUUUAUUGUUUAUCCUUCUUGUUAAAAUAAUUCACAAAAAUACUCUGCUCUCAUGGAUAGCAAACAAUUCCAAACACAUGUUUAUCCAAAGAAAAAAAAAUCUUUGUUAAAUAUAGGUAAAGGCCAUUUUUCACAGCCUUCUUGCUCAUAUUUACCCAGGGUGCGGAUAUUCGUGGAGGGCAGUAAUAAUAGAGUUGCCAUGUAAUAUGGAGCUGAAUCGCUGAUUGCCUGUGGUUCCUGUUCAGGUGUGACCUAUAGUGACCUACAUAAAUAUAAGACUGAAUCAGAAACCAAACAAAAUGGCUUCCAACUCAAAGGUCAUGGAGGUGCACGGUGAGCUGUGUGGUGUGAAGCUGGGUGAUUACCAGCUGACUGAGUAAAAUUAAUUCCCAUUAUGCGAUUAUAAAGAAAUCCUCCGAAUGAAUCUGUGCUCAUGCAGAAAUGAAUGCCUGGUGAUAAUGCUGAAAGAUUCAUCCAGUGCGAGAAUGACUCCAUAUGUCACCUUGAGGACCAUCCAGGGUCCAUUAUAUGAUAAUUGGGUCACUUGUCUUCCUGCUGAAUCCUUUUUCUUUUUUUCUUUUCUUUUCUUUUUAUAAAGUUUUCCCAAUCAUUGGUCUAGAACAUGGCUGAGUGUCACGUAUAGCCUGGCAGCUACAGUAUAGUGACUGCAGCACUUCUCAUAUUACUGACUGUUAUUUUCUAUUUGAAUAAAAUUUGUCAUUCAAACAGUUGUGUAGGACUUUGAAGACUAUCUCUUUUUUUUUGUUUUAACUUCAGACAUAUGAUCCGUUAAACGCUACUUUAUUUAACAAGUCCA
Ictalurus punctatus (channel catfish) is the source of this 3026-nucleotide long non-coding RNA. The record is from Ensembl. NCBI's taxonomy places the organism in Eukaryota, Metazoa, Chordata, Actinopteri, Siluriformes, Ictaluridae.